This 253-nucleotide ribosomal RNA is filed under the name uncultured bacterium. Its description in RNAcentral is "partial 16S ribosomal RNA". It matches the Rfam family "Bacterial small subunit ribosomal RNA", at positions 524 to 776 of the family's 1533-position model. The record is from RNAcentral. RNAcentral also lists the same sequence under 1 other name.
UACGAGGGGUCCUAGCGUUGUUCGGAAUCAUUGGGCGUAAAGAGCUCGUAGGUGGCUUAGUAAGUCAGGUGUGAAAGCCCAAGGCUCAACCUUGGAAGUGCACUUGAAACUGCAUAGCUUGAGUACGGUAGAGGUAAGUGGAAUUCCUGGUGUAGUGGUGAAAUACGUAGAUAUCAGGAGGAACAUCGGUGGCGAAGGCGGCUUACUGGACCAGUACUGACACUGAGGAGCGAAAGCAUGGGGAUCAAACAGG